RNAcentral lists this transfer RNA (82 nucleotides) under Dendronephthya gigantea. RNAcentral's name for it is "tRNA-Ser". It matches the Rfam family "tRNA". Rfam says of the family: Transfer RNA (tRNA) molecules are approximately 80 nucleotides in length. Their secondary structure includes four short double-helical elements and three loops (D, anti-codon, and T loops). Further hydrogen bonds mediate the characteristic L-shaped molecular structure. tRNAs have two regions of fundamental functional importance: the anti-codon, which is responsible for specific mRNA codon recognition, and the 3' end, to which the tRNAs corresponding amino acid is attached (by aminoacyl-tRNA synthetases). tRNAs cope with the degeneracy of the genetic code in two manners: having more than one tRNA (with a specific anti-codon) for a particular amino acid; and 'wobble' base-pairing, i.e. permitting non-standard base-pairing at the 3rd anti-codon position. The record is from RNAcentral. Lineage: Eukaryota; Metazoa; Cnidaria; Anthozoa; Malacalcyonacea; Nephtheidae.
GUAGUCGUGGCCGAGUGGUUAAGGCGAUAGACUUGAAAUCUGUUGGGAUAUCCCCGCGCAGGUUCAAAUCCUGCCGACUACU